AACGAACGCUGGCGGCAUGCCUAACACAUGCAAGUCGAACGAUUGCCUUCGGGUGAUAGUGGCGCACGGGUGCGUAACGCGUGGGAAUCUGCCCUUAGGUUCGGAAUAACAGCUGGAAGCGGCUGCUAAUACCGGAUGAUAUCGCGAGAUCAAAGAUUUAUCGCCUGAGGAUGAGCCCGCGUUGGAUUAGGUAGUUGGUGGGGUAAAGGCCUACCAAGCCGACGAUCCAUAGCUGGUCUGAGAGGAUGAUCAGCCACACUGGGACUGAGACACGGCCCAGACUCCUACGGGAGGCAGCAGUGGGGAAUAUUGGACAAUGGCGCAAGCCUGAUCCAGCAAUGCCGCGUGAGUGAUGAAGGCCCUAGGGUUGUAAAGCUCUUUUACCCGGGAAGAUAAUGACUGUACCGGGAGAAUAAGCCCCGGCUAACUCCGUG
RNAcentral lists this ribosomal RNA (434 nucleotides) under uncultured bacterium. Its description in RNAcentral is "partial 16S ribosomal RNA". It matches the Rfam family "Bacterial small subunit ribosomal RNA", at positions 29 to 507 of the family's 1533-position model. The record is from RNAcentral.